RNAcentral lists this ribosomal RNA (198 nucleotides) under uncultured bacterium. Its description in RNAcentral is "partial 16S ribosomal RNA". It matches the Rfam family "Bacterial small subunit ribosomal RNA", at positions 521 to 718 of the family's 1533-position model. The record is from RNAcentral.
UAAUACGUAGGUGGCAAGCGUUAUCCGGAAUUAUUGGGCGUAAAGCGCGCGCAGGUGGUUUCUUAAGUCUGAUGUGAAAGCCCACGGCUCAACCGUGGAGGGUCAUUGGAACCUGGGAGACUUGAGUGCAGAAGAGGAAAGUGGAAUUCCAUGUGUAGCGGUGAAAUGCGUAGAGAUAUGGAGGAACACCAGUGGCGA